Molecule: ribosomal RNA, 262 nt
Filed under: uncultured archaeon
Lineage: Archaea
Description: partial 16S ribosomal RNA
Rfam family: Archaeal small subunit ribosomal RNA
Source: RNAcentral
CAGCCGUAAACUAUGCUCGCUAGGUGUCAGGCAUGGCGCGACCGUGUCUGGUGCCGCAGGGAAGCCGUGAAGCGAGCCACCUGGGAAGUACGGCCGCAAGGCUGAAACUUAAAGGAAUUGGCGGGGGAGCACAAUAACGGGUGGAGCCUGCGGUUUAAUUGGACUCAACGCCGGACAACUCACCGGGGGACGACAGCAAUAUGUAGGCCAGGCUGAAGACCUUGCCUGAAUCGCUGAGAGGUGGUGCAUGGCGUAGACGUCU